UACGUAGGGCGCAAGCGUUGUCCGGAAUUAUUGGGCGUAAAGAGUUCGUAGGCGGUCUGUCGCGUCCGUUGUGAAAGCCCAGGGCUCAACCCUGGGUCUGCAGUGGAUACGGGCAGACUAGAGUCAGGUAGGGGAGAACGGAAUUCCUGGUGUAGCGGUGAAAUGCGCAGAUAUGCGGAGGAACACCGAUGGCGAAGGCAAUCCCCUGGGCCUGCACUGACGCUCAUGCACGAAAGCGUGGGGAGCAAACAGG
Molecule: ribosomal RNA, 253 nt
Filed under: uncultured bacterium
Lineage: Bacteria
Description: partial 16S ribosomal RNA
Rfam family: Bacterial small subunit ribosomal RNA
Source: RNAcentral